Molecule: non-coding RNA, 72 nt
Organism: Oreochromis niloticus (Nile tilapia)
Lineage: Eukaryota; Metazoa; Chordata; Actinopteri; Cichliformes; Cichlidae
Source: Rfam
GCCGUGAUCGUAUAGUGGUUAGUACUCUGCGUUGUGGCCGCAUCAACCCCGGUUCGAAUCCGGGUCACGGCA